Molecule: ribosomal RNA, 460 nt
Filed under: uncultured bacterium
Lineage: Bacteria
Description: partial 16S ribosomal RNA
Rfam family: Bacterial small subunit ribosomal RNA
Source: RNAcentral
CCUACUGGAGACUUCAUUGAGGAGUAUUGGUCAAUGGGCGCGAGCCUGAACCCUCCCCUGCUCUUUCCUUCUUCCUUCCCUCCUUUUUUUCCCCUUCUUUUCUCCCUUAAUAAAGUGAGGCACGUGUGCCUUUUUGUAUGUACUUUAUGAAUAAGGAUCGGCUAACUCCGUGCCAGCAGCCGCGGUAAUACGGAGGAUCCGAGCGUUAUCCGGAUUUAUUGGGUUUAAAGGGAGCGUAGAUGGGUUGUUAAGUCAGUUGUGAAAUCCGGGGGCUCAACCCCCGAACUGCAUUUGAAACUGUUGGUCUUGAGUAUCGGAGAGGCAGGCGGAAUUCCUAGUGUAGCGGUGAAAUGCGUAGAUAUUAGGAGGAACACCAGUGGCGAAGGCGGCCUGCUGGACGACAACUGACGGUGAGGCGCGAAAGCGUGGGGAGCAAACAGGAUUAGAUACCCUUGUAGUC